RNAcentral lists this ribosomal RNA (481 nucleotides) under uncultured bacterium. RNAcentral describes it as "partial 16S ribosomal RNA". It matches the Rfam family "Bacterial small subunit ribosomal RNA", at positions 43 to 523 of the family's 1533-position model. The record is from RNAcentral.
CGCGCCUAACACAUGCAAGUCGAACGGAGAUCAUUUGGUAGAAGUUUUCGGAUAGACACUGAGUGAUCUUAGUGGCGAACGGGUGAGUAACGCGUGAGCAAUCUGCCUCAGAGUGGGGGACAACAGUUGGAAACGACUGCUAAUACCGCAUAAGCCCACAGCACCGCAUGGAGCAGGGGGAAAAGAUUUAUUGCUUUGAGAUGAGCUCGCGUCCAAUUAGCUAGUUGGUGAGGUAACGGCCCACCAAGGCGACGAUUGGUAGCCGGACUGAGAGGUUGAACGGCCACAUUGGGACUGAGAUACGGCCCAGACUCCUACGGGAGGCAGCAGUGGGGAAUAUUGCACAAUGGGGGGAACCCUGAUGCAGCGACGCCGCGUGGAGGAAGAAGGUCUUCGGAUUGUAAACUCCUGUUGUUAGGGACGAUAAUGACGGUACCUAACAAGGAAGCACCGGCUAACUACGUGCCAGCAGCCGCCGCAG